Molecule: ribosomal RNA, 589 nt
Filed under: uncultured bacterium
Lineage: Bacteria
Description: bacterial SSU rRNA
Rfam family: Bacterial small subunit ribosomal RNA
Source: RNAcentral
CCUACGGGAGGCAGCAGUGGGGAAUAUUGGACAAUGGGCGAAAGCCUGAUCCAGCAAUGCCGCGUGAGUGAUGAAGGCCUUAGGGUUGUAAAGCUCUUUUACCAGGGAUGAUAAUGACAGUACCUGGAGAAUAAGCUCCGGCUAACUCCGUGCCAGCAGCCGCGGUAAUACGGAGGGAGCUAGCGUUGUUCGGAAUUACUGGGCGUAAAGCGUACGUAGGCGGUUAUUCAAGUCAGAGGUGAAAGCCUGGAGCUCAACUCCAGAACUGCCUUUGAAACUAGAUAGCUAGAAUCUUGGAGAGGUGAGUGGAAUUCCGAGUGUAGAGGUGAAAUUCGUAGAUAUUCGGAAGAACACCAGUGGCGAAGGCGACUCACUGGACAAGUAUUGACGCUGAGGUACGAAAGCGUGGGGAGCAAACAGGAUUAGAUACCCUGGUAGUCCACGCCGUAAACGAUGAUAACUAGCUGUUCGGGCUCUACGAGCUUGUGUGCGCNGCUACGACAUAAGUUAUCGUCCGUGGGAGGUACGGUCGCGAGAUAAACUACAAGAAGUAGACGCGNGAGAGNGCGACGACGACGACGAGGGAGAG